RNAcentral lists this precursor RNA (427 nucleotides) under Zea mays. Its description in RNAcentral is "precursor miRNA zma-miR396b". The stretch from base 114 to 231 matches the Rfam family "MIR396 microRNA precursor family". Lineage: Eukaryota; Viridiplantae; Streptophyta; Magnoliopsida; Poales; Poaceae. The record is from RNAcentral.
ACCCACCCAACUUGCUGUUACUGAGUGCCAAAGACGAUGGCAGCAGGCAGCAAGCAGUGUUCCUUCUCCUUCUUCCUCCUUCCUUCCUCCUCCUGCAGUAAUCAGAUGGCCUUCUUUGUGAUCUUCCACAGCUUUCUUGAACUGCAUCUCUCAGAGGAGCGGCAGCUUCAACUCCUCCACCCGCAUCAGCAGGUGCAUGCAGUUCAAUAAAGCUGUGGGAAACUGCAGAGAGAGGCCAGCAGAGCAGCAAAGCAUGGCCGGUGCCGUCAACUUGGUCAUCCUGUGCAGAUGCAUGCGUGCUGCCUAGACAAAUAUAAAUCUUCCACAUGCAUGCAGCACCGAUCAAGAUGUGUUCUUUUCUCUGUCGAUUCUCCAGCAGCUGGUGAUAAGCUAAUAAGGUUCAGUUUCAUACUUUCUUGUACACUCU